This 422-nucleotide long non-coding RNA is filed under the name Capsicum annuum. RNAcentral's name for it is "long non-coding RNA (CANN_LNC008204)". The record is from RNAcentral. Lineage: Eukaryota; Viridiplantae; Streptophyta; Magnoliopsida; Solanales; Solanaceae.
UGGGUUAUAGAAUUGAUUGCAUGUAUUUAAAAAACUUAGUUGAGCUUUCUCUAUGUAAUAAUUAUAGAUAUUGUGUGAUCCAUCCAUUUGAGUAGCCAUUAUAGGUCUUUCAAGUAUUUUUAAUAAGUGUUCUGGUACUAUUUCUUUAUUGAUUAAACAGCUAGUACAUCCGGGAUCUACUAAUGCUAGAGUUUCUAUUUCUACGUCUUUUAUUUUGAUUUUUACUAAGACUUUAAUGGUAGAGAAUUCUUUAUCUUCGUUGCAUAUUAGAUUAGUAUUAGUAUCUUCUAAAUUCAUAAGUUCUGCCUCUAAUUUCUCUAAAUGUACUGCUUCUUGGGUAUCCGUUUCUUCUAAGGUGAUUUUUGUUUUUCCUUUUUCUAGAAUAGUUAAUCUUUGUUCUAGAUCAUUUAAUUGGGUUUCUA